Molecule: ribosomal RNA, 444 nt
Filed under: uncultured bacterium
Lineage: Bacteria
Description: bacterial SSU rRNA
Rfam family: Bacterial small subunit ribosomal RNA
Source: RNAcentral
AACGAACGCUGGCGGCAUGCCUAACACAUGCAAGUCGAACGAAGUCUUCGGACUUAGUGGCGCACGAGUGCGUAACGCGUGGGAAUCUGCCCUUGGGUGCGGAAUAACUUCUCGAAAGGGAUGCUAAUACCGCAUAAUGUCGUAAGACCAAAGAUUUAUCGCCCAAGGAUGAGCCCGCGUAAGAUUAGCUAGUCGGUGGGGUAAAAGCCUACCAAGGCGACGAUCUUUAGCUGGUCUGAGAGGAUGAUCAGCCACACUGGGACUGAGACACGGCCCAGACUCCUACGGGAGGCAGCAGUGGGGAAUAUUGGACAAUGGGCGAAAGCCUGAUCCAGCAAUGCCGCGUGAGUGAUGAAGGCCCUAGGGUUGUAAAGCUCUUUUACCAGGGAUGAUAAUGACAGUACCGGGAGAAUAAGCCCCGGCUAACUCCGUGCCAGCAGCCGC